Molecule: long non-coding RNA, 775 nt
Organism: Hermetia illucens (black soldier fly)
Lineage: Eukaryota; Metazoa; Arthropoda; Insecta; Diptera; Stratiomyidae
Exons: 3
Source: RefSeq, a predicted model, not a curated record
AAUAUUCAAAAUGAAAACAACAAAUAACAGUCGAUUCACUUUUUACUUGUGUUGUACACAACAUGGUCUAGGACACUCUUGCUGAUUAAUAUUAUAUCUUAUUCGCGUAGAACUGAGAUGUCCUUUUACUGGCUUAGUCGAUUUCGCUCUUUAUAUUUCGAAGUAUCUGGGGUUUCGCAGUAUGUGCAUCAUUUCGUUUUUUUGUGACGAACUGAUGGGAAGAUUCAUUUGCUUUAAAUGCAUUUUUAGCAUUUGUUUCGAGCCAAUGCGAAGCUUCUUCCAAGCAAGCCUUGAUGGGAAUCGAUGAUGUUGCGGAGACUUUGUUUGGUGGAUAAAAGGCGGUUCGAUGAAAAUACAAUGCCUAGUGCUUUGGCCUCUAGUUAAUAAUUCCUGCCCAAGCUUUUAAAUUCCAUCCGUUUUGAUAAUAUUCUUCACGAUUCAAUUCUUGGUUAAAAAUACCUUCGUCGAUAAAUAGGAUAUUUUUAGUGAAGUGAAUCGACAACAGAAAUUAGUUUUAGAUCCUCUGCGUAUAGAGGACAGGAGAGUCGGCAAUUUAUGGAAAAUGAAAACAAGAAGGAUCGGAUUGGAAAAAAGGCAGUUAAGACAGAUGUUAUCAAUUAAAUAGAACUUCAAUGAGGUGAGAACAGUAGAUGGAAAGACAUAGGAUCAUAGCUUACUAUGAAGGAGGGGUUGAUCAACGGAAUUACUUUGGAGAAGUCUUAUAAAUUACAUGUAAAUCUUUUUGCGUUCAAAGUCUUCCCAACAAACAAUAACA